ACAAUGAAGAGUUUGAUCCUGGCUCAGGAUGAACGCUAGCUACAGGCUUAACACAUGCAAGUCGAGGGGCAUCAGGAAGAAAGCUUGCUUUCUUUGCCGGCGACCGGCGCACGGGUGAGUAACACGUAUCCAACCUGCCCUUUACUCGGGGAUAGCCUUUCGAAAGAAAGAUUAAUACCCGAUGGCAUAAUGAUUCCGCAUGGUUUCAUUAUUAAAGGAUUCCGGUAAAGGAUGGGGAUGCGUUCCAUUAGGUUGUUGGUGGGGUAACGGCCCACCAAGCCUUCGAUGGAUAGGGGUUCUGAGAGGAAGGUCCCCCACAUUGGAACUGAGACACGGUCCAAACUCCUACGGGAGGCAGCAGUGAGGAAUAUUGGUCAAUGGGCGCUAGCCUGAACCAGCCAAGUAGCGUGAAGGAUGAAGGCUCUAUGGGUCGUAAACUUCUUUUAUAUAAGAAUAAAGUGCAGUAUGUAUACUGUUUUGUAUGUAUUAUAUGAAUAAGGAUCGGCUAACUCCGUGCCAGCAGCCGCGGUAAUACGGAGGAUCCGAGCGUUAUCCGGAUUUAUUGGGUUUAAAGGGAGCGUAGGUGGACUGGUAAGUCAGUUGUGAAAGUUUGCGGCUCAACCGUAAAAUUGCAGUUGAUACUGUCAGUCUUGAGUACAGUAGAGGUGGGCGGAAUUCGUGGUGUAGCGGUGAAAUGCUUAGAUAUCACGAAGAACUCCGAUUGCGAAGGCAGCUCACUGGACUGCAACUGACACUGAUGCUCGAAAGUGUGGGUAUCAAACAGGAUUAGAUACCCUGGUAGUCCACACAGUAAACGAUGAAUACUCGCUGUUUGCGAUAUACAGUAAGCGGCCAAGCGAAAGCAUUAAGUAUUCCACCUGGGGAGUACGCCGGCAACGGUGAAACUCAAAGGAAUUGACGGGGGCCCGCACAAGCGGAGGAACAUGUGGUUUAAUUCGAUGAUACGCGAGGAACCUUACCCGGGCUUAAAUUGCAGUGGAAUGAUGUGGAAACAUGUCAGUGAGCAAUCACCGCUGUGAAGGUGCUGCAUGGUUGUCGUCAGCUCGUGCCGUGAGGUGUCGGCUUAAGUGCCAUAACGAGCGCAACCCUUAUCUUUAGUUACUAACAGGUUAUGCUGAGGACUCUAGAGAGACUGCCGUCGUAAGAUGUGAGGAAGGUGGGGAUGACGUCAAAUCAGCACGGCCCUUACGUCCGGGGCUACACACGUGUUACAAUGGGGGGUACAGAAGGCAGCUAGCGGGUGACCGUAUGCUAAUCCCAAAAGCCUCUCUCAGUUCGGAUCGAAGUCUGCAACCCGACUUCGUGAAGCUGGAUUCGCUAGUAAUCGCGCAUCAGCCACGGCGCGGUGAAUACGUUCCCGGGCCUUGUACACACCGCCCGUCAAGCCAUGGGAGCCGGGGGUACCUGAAGUACGUAACCGCAAGGAUCGUCCUAGGGUAAAACUGGUGACUGGGGCUAAGUCGUAACAAGGUAGCCGUACCGGAAGGUGCGGCUGGAACACCUCCUUU
RNAcentral lists this ribosomal RNA (1529 nucleotides) under Bacteroides fragilis. RNAcentral's name for it is "bacterial SSU rRNA". It matches the Rfam family "Bacterial small subunit ribosomal RNA". The record is from RNAcentral. Lineage: Bacteria; Pseudomonadati; Bacteroidota; Bacteroidia; Bacteroidales; Bacteroidaceae.